GUGAGGAAUAUUGCGCAAUGGAGGCAACUCUGACGCAGCCAUGCCGCGUGCAGGAAGAAGGCGCUACGCGUUGUAAACUGCUUUUAACCGGGAAGAAACCCCAGGACGUGUCCUGGGUUGACGGUACCGGAGGAAUAAGCACCGGCUAACUUCGUGCCAGCAGCCGCGGUAAUACGAAGGGUGCAAGCGUUAUCCGGAUUCAUUGGGUUUAAAGGGUGCGUAGGCGGAGCGUUAAGUCAGUGGUGAAAUCCUGCAGCUUAACUGUAGACGUGCCAUUGAUACUGGCGCUCUUGAGUGCGCUUGAAGUGGGCGGAAUGUGCCGUGUAGCGGUGAAAUGCUUAGAUAUGGCACAGAACACCAAUUGCGAAGGCAGCUCACUAAGGCGAUACUGACGCUGAGGCACGAAAGCGUGGGGAUCGAACAGGAUUAGAAACCCCAGUAGUCC
RNAcentral lists this ribosomal RNA (445 nucleotides) under uncultured bacterium. RNAcentral describes it as "partial 16S ribosomal RNA". It matches the Rfam family "Bacterial small subunit ribosomal RNA", at positions 354 to 796 of the family's 1533-position model. The record is from RNAcentral.